This 483-nucleotide ribosomal RNA is filed under the name uncultured bacterium. RNAcentral describes it as "bacterial SSU rRNA". It matches the Rfam family "Bacterial small subunit ribosomal RNA", at positions 15 to 507 of the family's 1533-position model. The record is from RNAcentral.
GAUCCUGGCUCAGGAUGAACGCUGGCGGCGUGCUUAACACAUGCAAGUCGAACGAAGAUGCCGAAGUGCUUGCACUUUGGCAGACUGAGUGGCGGACGGGUGAGUAACGCGUGGGUAACCUGCCUUAUACAGGGGGAUAACAGUUGGAAACGACUGCUAAUACCGCAUAAGCGCACGGUAUCGCAUGAUACAGUGUGAAAAACUCCGGUGGUAUAAGAUGGACCCGCGUCUGAUUAGCUAGUUGGUGAGGUAACGGCCCACCAAGGCGACGAUCAGUAGCCGGCCUGAGAGGGUGAACGGCCACAUUGGGACUGAGACACGGCCCAAACUCCUACGGGAGGCAGCAGGUGGGGAAUAUUGCACAAUGGGGGAAACCCUGAUGCAGCGACGCCGCGUGAGUGAUGAAGUAUUUCGGUAUGUAAAACUCUAUCAGCAGGGAAGAUAAUGACGGUACCUGACUAAGAAGCACCGGCUAAAUACGUG